ACCGUUUUCAAGUUCUAAGUUGUACGCAUAAACCCUUCUUCUUCCUUAACGAUUCUUGAAUUACUUGGAAUUUCAGGCAGACAAAAUUCCACCGGGAAAACGAGCAUCGUCACUUACAACUCGUCCCUCCUUCCGAUUUUUCUAGAGUUGUUCUUUCUACUUCUUUAUUCCUCAAAUUAAGAGUUUCUGUUGAGUUAGAUGGGGACUGCGGAGGGAUUGGUGAUGCAGUUUGGAGUGACGAAGCCGAUUUCCAUGGCGGGACCUGCUGCUGCCAAUUUGAAGAAAACUGGUGAACUGGAGAAGGUUUUUUUUUUUUUUUGAUUCUUGAUCAUCUUUUUCAAGUUGCACUUUAUACUUCUUGAUUUUGAUCAUCAUCAGGCUUGAAACUGAAAGACAAAAACCUUUUAUUGGUCAUAAGUAUUUUGCUUGCAGAAUUCUCAAGCUGGGAGAAAAGUUCUCUAAACCAGGCGUACGCGAUGAUGAUCCAUUCUAUGCAAAUACAAAAAGCAUGUUGAUCACCCUUGACCUUCAGAGAAAAUAAAAAAGACCCAGAUUUUGAUCUGAUUUGAACCAACAAAACAUUUUCUGAAAUUAAGAUUAACUUGGGUCAUUGCAUUUUUAUUCAUAAUUCAAAGUUCAACGGUAGCAAACUGUGAGAAGAUCAGCUCUAAUGAAAAACAUCAAAGGCAAAGGCGUAUUCUCGGCUCCUGGUGAUUACAUCUACUUCAAAUCCCAAGUUCCUCUUCACCAAAUUCCUUACUAUCAAGGCAUUGGUCAAACCUAUUCUCAGGAGAAAAUUGAUGAACCCAGGGAGUUGUGGAUUACAUACGUUGGAGAUCAACACGAAGCACAAAUGGUGAAUGAGUUCUAACUUUCCGCCUAAUUUUUUUUUUUUUUUACCUUAAUCCACUUUUGGACAUACAUUAUAUUUUUGGAUUUGGAUAAUGAUAUCAUGUGGAUUUGGCUAUAGGCUAGAUUUGAUCUUAUUUACGAUUUAGAUUAAUAUUGAUAUGUAUAUAUAGUAGUUUUUUUUAGAUGUUUAGAAUUAUGAAUAUUAGUUCCAUUAUUUUAUGAUAUAAAGAAUUUUGGAAGUUUGGAAUAUCA
This is a long non-coding RNA of Beta vulgaris subsp. vulgaris (sugar beet), 1104 nucleotides long. RefSeq lists it as uncharacterized. The transcript has 4 exons. NCBI's taxonomy places the organism in Eukaryota, Viridiplantae, Streptophyta, Magnoliopsida, Caryophyllales, Amaranthaceae. The record is from RefSeq and is a predicted model, not a curated record.